UACGGAGGGGGCUAGCGUUGUUCGGAAUUACUGGGCGUAAAGCGCACGUAGGCUGACUGUUAAGUCAGAGGUGAAAUCCCGGGGCUCAACCCCGGAACUGCCUUUGAUACUGGCAGUCUUGAGGUCGAGAGAGGUGAGUGGAACUCCGAGUGUAGAGGUGAAAUUCGUAGAUAUUCGGAGGAACACCAGUGGCGAAGGCGGCUCACUGGCUCGAUACCGACGCUGAGGUGCGAAAGCGUGGGGAGCAAACAGG
Molecule: unclassified non-coding RNA, 253 nt
Filed under: uncultured Rhodobacterales bacterium
Lineage: Bacteria; Pseudomonadati; Pseudomonadota; Alphaproteobacteria; Rhodobacterales
Description: contains 16S-23S intergenic spacer region
Rfam family: Bacterial small subunit ribosomal RNA
Source: RNAcentral